UCCCUCUUAGUUCAGUCGGUAGAACGGCGGACUGUUAAUCCGUAUGUCGCUGGUUCAAGUCCAGCAGAGGGAGCCA
This 76-nucleotide transfer RNA is filed under the name Photobacterium aquimaris. RNAcentral's name for it is "tRNA-Asn". It matches the Rfam family "tRNA". From Rfam's summary of the family: Transfer RNA (tRNA) molecules are approximately 80 nucleotides in length. Their secondary structure includes four short double-helical elements and three loops (D, anti-codon, and T loops). Lineage: Bacteria; Pseudomonadati; Pseudomonadota; Gammaproteobacteria; Vibrionales; Vibrionaceae. The record is from RNAcentral.